AUCCCGUUCGUAUAGCGGUCAAUACACUAGAUUCUCAAUCUAGCAACAGGGGUUCAACUCCCCUACGGGAUAC
Molecule: transfer RNA, 73 nt
Filed under: Rhodococcus phage Trina
Lineage: Duplodnaviria; Heunggongvirae; Uroviricota; Caudoviricetes
Description: tRNA-Glu
Rfam family: tRNA
About the family: Transfer RNA (tRNA) molecules are approximately 80 nucleotides in length. Their secondary structure includes four short double-helical elements and three loops (D, anti-codon, and T loops).
Source: RNAcentral